This is a long non-coding RNA of Daphnia magna, 648 nucleotides long. RefSeq lists it as uncharacterized. The record is from RefSeq and is a predicted model, not a curated record. NCBI's taxonomy places the organism in Eukaryota, Metazoa, Arthropoda, Branchiopoda, Diplostraca, Daphniidae. The transcript is spliced from 3 exons.
CAAUACUGUCCGCUAGGUGUCAGCUUUGAAGCAAAGCUCACCUCUCUUGCCCUGUGUAGUGAAUAGAUAAAAAAAACCCGCAAAAUUGAAGAAUGUAGUUCACUGUUUCGAAUUCUUGAAUUUGUGAUCCGUACUUAUGAAAUUGUGAAUUAUACUCAUCACUCACCACCUGAUUGCAAACGGUGUUUGACCAUCAAAACUGACGAUUUCGGCAAAAUUCCUUCUGGACGCACGCAGACUUGAAGAACUGUUUCACACGUUACGCAACGAUUUCAUUUACAAACAACUUCGCGGAACGAUAAGGGGAAAUGUGAACGUUUUGUGGGAUAUCAAAAUGAAAGGCUCCUCAAGUCUAUUGACGUCGAUUCCAUCGAUUACCUUCACGUAACCAAUCGGGAAUGCUGGCAUUCGGGUGCCCACCUCGUUUAGAUAUCCCGAUUGAAACCCCACAGUCCUAAAUUGGUAUCGUAGAUAUAAAAAUGCUUUACUUAAAAAACAAAGCCAAACUUUGUUUAAAACACUUCUUGGUGGUUUACAAUAAGCACAAACCAUGGUACUUUCAAAAAUUAUCUUUUGAAUGUGUUUCUACAAAUAACUGUGGUAUUUAUUCAAAACUGAUUACAUCAGCAAUGAUUUGCAAUCUGCCAA